This 223-nucleotide unclassified non-coding RNA is filed under the name Hevea brasiliensis (rubber tree). The record is from RNAcentral. Lineage: Eukaryota; Viridiplantae; Streptophyta; Magnoliopsida; Malpighiales; Euphorbiaceae.
GAGGAGGAGUUCGAUCGGAUGGCUGAAGCUGAGCUUCAACAACUCCUUGACAAGUCUGAGAAGGCUCGCAAGAUGGGCAGUUUGAUGGAGAAGGCUGCUGCGGUUGCUUCCAAGAGGUACAUGGAGGCAGCCAUGAAUUCCGCCACCGCUUCCAUGAGAUCCGCUUGGAAGGCUAUUUCCUCUAAUAAGGUUCAUCCUUCUUGAAGCCGCUUGCUAUUUCUCU